Molecule: ribosomal RNA, 405 nt
Filed under: uncultured bacterium
Lineage: Bacteria
Description: bacterial SSU rRNA
Rfam family: Bacterial small subunit ribosomal RNA
Source: RNAcentral
GAUGAACGCUAGCUACAGGCUUAACACAUGCAAGUCGAGGGGCAGCAUGAACUUAGCUUGCUAAGUUUGAUGGCGACCGGCGCACGGGUGAGUAACACGUAUCCAACCUGCCGAUGACUCGGGGAUAGCCUUUCGAAAGAAAGAUUAAUACCCGAUGGCAUAGUUCUUCCGCAUGGUAGAACUAUUAAAGAAUUUCGGUCAUCGAUGGGGAUGCGUUCCAUUAGGUUGUUGGCGGGGUAAACGGCCCACCAAGCCUUCGAUGGAUAGGGGUUCUGAGNGAAGGUCCCCCACAUUGGAACUGAGACACGGUCCAAACUCCUACGGGAGGCAGCAGUGAGGAAUAUUGGUCAAUGGGCGAGAGCCUGAACCAGCCAAGUAGCGUGAAGGAUGAAGGUCCUACGGAUU